This 504-nucleotide ribosomal RNA is filed under the name uncultured Desulfobulbus sp. RNAcentral describes it as "bacterial SSU rRNA". It matches the Rfam family "Bacterial small subunit ribosomal RNA", at positions 903 to 1382 of the family's 1533-position model. Lineage: Bacteria; Pseudomonadati; Thermodesulfobacteriota; Desulfobulbia; Desulfobulbales; Desulfobulbaceae. The record is from RNAcentral.
UGCGCCUUGCCAGCCCGCUCAGAAACUUAAAGGAAGUUGACGGGGGCCCGCACAAGCGGUGGAGCAUGUGGUUUAAUUCGAUGAUACGCGAGGAACCUACCUGGGCUCAAAUGUAUGUUGACGUAUUCUGAAAGGGAUACUUCUUCGGACAAUAUACAAGGUGCUGCAUGGUUGUCGUCAGCUCGUGCCGUGAGGUGUCGGGUUAAGUCCCAUAACGAGCGCAACCCCUAUCAUUAGUUGCCAGCAGUUCGGCUGGGCACUCUAAAGGGACUGCCGGUGUUAAACCGGAGGAAGGUGGGGAUGACGUCAAGUCCUCAUGGCCUUUAUGACCAGGGCUACACACGUACUACAAUGGCCGAUACAAAGGGCAGCGACACUGCGAGGUGAAGCCAAUCCCGUAAAAUCGGUCUCAGUCCGGAUUGGAGUCUGCAACUCGACUCCAUGAAGUUGGAAUCGCUAGUAAUCGUGGAUCAGCAUGCCACGGUGAAUACGUUCCCGGGCCUU